AUACGGAGAGGGCUAGCGUUGUUCGGAUUUACUGGGCGUAAAGGGUAUGUAGGUGUCUUGAUAAGCUCUGGGUGAAAUCUCCGCGCUCAACGCGGAAACGAAUCAGAGAACUAUCAGGGUUGAGUUCAGGAGAAGAGAGUGGAAUUCUCGGUGUAGCGGUGAAAUGCGUAGAUAUCGAGAAGAACACCAGCGGCGAAGGCGGCUCUCUAUUCUGAAACUGACACUCAAAUACGAAAGCGUGGGUAGCGAAUAGGAUUAGAAACCCCGGUAGUCC
RNAcentral lists this ribosomal RNA (274 nucleotides) under uncultured bacterium. Its description in RNAcentral is "partial 16S ribosomal RNA". It matches the Rfam family "Bacterial small subunit ribosomal RNA", at positions 523 to 796 of the family's 1533-position model. The record is from RNAcentral.